GAUGAACGCUGGCGGUAUGCCUAACACAUGCAAGUCGUACGAGAGUUUUUAACUCUAGUGGCGGACGGGUGAGUAACACGUGAGAAUUUGACCUUUAGGAGGGGGACAACAAUCGGAAACGAAUGCUAAUACCCCAUAUGCUUUCGAGUGAAAUGGAUUUUAUCCGCCUAGAGAGAAGCUCGCGGCUGAUUAGCUUGUUGGUAAGGUAAGAGCUUACCAAGGCGACGAUCAGUAUCUGGUUUGAGAGGACGAUCAGACACACUGGAACUGAGACACGGUCCAGACUCCUACGGGAGGCAGCAGUGGGGAAUUUUCCGCAAUGGGCGAAAGCCUGACGGAGCAAUACCGCGUGAGGGAAGAAUGCCUAUGGGUUGUAAACCUCUUUUUUCAGGGAGGAAUAAAAUGACGUGUACCUGAAGAAUAAGCAUCGGCUAACUCCGUG
Molecule: ribosomal RNA, 442 nt
Filed under: uncultured bacterium
Lineage: Bacteria
Description: bacterial SSU rRNA
Rfam family: Bacterial small subunit ribosomal RNA
Source: RNAcentral